AUGGAUAGAUUCAAGUUGAUUAAGGAAGUUGGUGAUGGGACAUUCGGGAGCGUAUGGCGCGCUAUAAAUAAACAAAAUGGUGAAGUUGUGGCUGUUAAGAAAAUGAAAAGAAAAUAUUAUUCUUUCGAGGAAUGUAUGAGUUUACGUGAAGUAAAGUCUUUGCGGCGCAUGAAUCACCCUAACAUAGUGAAGCUCAAGGAGGUCAUAAGGGAAAAUGAUAUAUUAUACUUCAUAAUGGAAUACAUGGAGUGCAAUCUGUACCAACUUAUGAAAGACAGAGUCAAGCCUUUCGCGGAGUCAGAUGUCCGUAAUUGGUGCUUUCAGAUUUUCCAGGCUCUUGCUUAUAUGCACCAGAGGGGAUACUUUCAUCGUGACCUCAAACCAGAGAAUCUGCUGGUCAGCAAAGAUGUCCUAAAGCUAGCAGACUUUGGUCUAGCGAGAGAAAUUUCAUCUGCACCACCAUACACAGAAUAUGUGUCAACACGCUGGUACCGAGCACCUGAAGUAUUGCUCCAGUCAUCUGCUUAUGAUUCUGCAGUUGAUAUGUGGGCAAUGGGUGCCAUAAUGGCCGAGCUGUUGACACUCCAUCCUCUUUUCCCUGGCACAAGUGAAGCGGAUGAGAUUCUCAAGAUUUGCAACGUUAUUGGUUGCCCAGACGAGCAAACAUGGCCCCAGGGAUUGUCUCUUGCAGAGGCGAUGAAGUAUCAGUUCCCACAGAUCAGAGGCAAUCAACUGUCGGAGGUAAUGAAAUCAGCCAGUAGUGAGGCAGUUGACCUUAUAUCCUCUCUGUGCUCAUGGGAUCCUUGCAAGAGACCAAAAGCCGCGGAAGUUCUCCAACAUGCCUUCUUUAAGGAUUGUACUUAUGUUCCAGCUGCUGUCCGGCCAAAAGCUGCAGGUCCCCCUAAAACUCCUCCGGGUGUUGGAGUAAGAGGAGUUUCAGGACACAUUGCUCGGAGAUACUCCACUGGAGCUCUCUCCACAAGCAAACCUGCUGCAAACAUAUCUAUAAAACCGAGCAGCUUAUCUAAGAUCGGUGUGCAAAGAAAACUUCAAUUGGAUCGUCAGGCACCACAGAAGAGUACACGGCCCACUGAGAGUAACACCAAACAAACUACUAGUCGAGUACUGGCAAGGAAUAGCCCAGGGAACGCGAACCCGAUAUUAAGGCAUUCACGCAGUUUACCUGAAACUGGCCGGGCAACGGUUCAGAAGGUUUCGAGUAUCACCGAAAAGCUUGCUCAUAUGUCUGUGACCUCUCGAACACGCACGGCUGUGAAGCCCCCUGUCCCGCUGUUGAAGGCUGGGCAUCUCAAGUCAGACUUCCUCGGGAAAUCUGACGAAAUCCCUCCGGCAAAGAGAUUGACAAGAAAGUUGGUGAGCUAA
This 1383-nucleotide ribosomal RNA is filed under the name Triticum aestivum (bread wheat). RNAcentral's name for it is "partial small subunit ribosomal RNA". Lineage: Eukaryota; Viridiplantae; Streptophyta; Magnoliopsida; Poales; Poaceae. The record is from RNAcentral.